Long non-coding RNA from Peromyscus eremicus (cactus mouse), 475 nucleotides. RefSeq lists it as uncharacterized. Lineage: Eukaryota; Metazoa; Chordata; Mammalia; Rodentia; Cricetidae. The record is from RefSeq and is a predicted model, not a curated record. The transcript has 2 exons.
CAGCCUAGGGAGCUCUUGGAAACUUUGGACAUUACAAUCCAAGAAUCUGAAAGCUCUUAUUUCUAGCCAUGGUAUCUGUGCUUUGUGUGAAUCAACAGUUAAUUCCAGGAGUUUUUCACCUAGCAAACUAUGAAAGGCAGAGACAAGGAGCUGAAGUCCCCUACAUGCUCUUUAUCUAGAUGGUUUGCUCUUAUUUAUAAACAUGUUAGAUGUCUCGUCAGUUGGAAGAGACGAUGGGAGAGGAACCCAGAGCUAUAUGAAGAUGGUCUGGGACAAGGAGCUGGAUUGUAAAUGAAAGAUGAUGACUGGAAAAGCUGAAAAUCAGGCACUACACUUCCAUGAUGCUACCAUCAUGUGUCAGAAAGAGAUCCCUGGCCAUUGCGUGCCUUAUGUACAAUGUUCAGUACAAGCUACUAUCAUAAGUUGUGUCUGGGUAUUUGUAAAUAAAAGCUGCCAAGUACAAUGUAUUCUAAAA